This 561-nucleotide ribosomal RNA is filed under the name uncultured bacterium. Its description in RNAcentral is "bacterial SSU rRNA". It matches the Rfam family "Bacterial small subunit ribosomal RNA", at positions 777 to 1350 of the family's 1533-position model. The record is from RNAcentral.
AAUAGAUACCCCGGUAGUCCACGCCGUAAACGAUGGAUGCUAGCUGUUAGGAGUAUCGACCCUUCUAGUAGCGAAGCUAACGCGUUAAGCAUCCCGCCUGGGGAGUACGGUCGCAAGAUUAAAACUCAAAGGAAUUGACGGGGACCCGCACAAGUGGUGGAGCGUGUUCUUUAAUUCGACGAUAAGCGAAGAACCUUACCAGGGCUUGACAUCCUUGGAAUUUCUGCGAAAGCAGAGAGUACUUUAUUGGACCAAGUGACAGGUGUUGCAUGGCCGUCGUCAGCUCGUGUCGUGAGAUGUUAGGUUAAGUCCUUCAACGAGCGCAACCCUUAUGUUUAGUUGGAUUUUUUCUAAACAGACUGCCCCGGUAACGGGGAGGAAGGAGGGGAUGAUGUCAGGUCAUUAUUACCCUUACGUCCUGGGCUAGAAACGCGCUACAAUGGCCGGUACAAAGGGCAGCCAACCCGCGAGGGGGAGCAAAUCCCAUCAAAACCGGUCCCAGUUCGGAUUGCAGGCUGAAACUCGCCUGCAUGAAGCCGGAAUCACUAGUAAUCGUAGGUC